Molecule: ribosomal RNA, 443 nt
Filed under: uncultured bacterium
Lineage: Bacteria
Description: partial 16S ribosomal RNA
Rfam family: Bacterial small subunit ribosomal RNA
Source: RNAcentral
CCUACGGGAGGCAGCAGUGGGGAAUAUUGGACAAUGGGGGGAACCCUGAUCCAGCGACGCCGCGUGAGUGAAGAAGUAUUUCGGUAUGUAAAGCUCUAUCAGCAGGGAAGAAAGAAAUGACGGUACCUGAAUAAGAAGCCCCCGCUAACUACGGGCCAGCAGCCGCGGUAAUACGUAGGGGGCAAGCGUUAUCCGGAUGGACGGGGUGUAAAGGGAGCGUAGACGGCGAUGCAAGUGGGAAGGGAAAGGCGGGGGCCCAAACCUUGGACUGCUUUGGAAACUGUGUGGCUGGAGUGCAGGAGAGGUAAGUGGAAUUCCUAGUGUAGCGGUGAAAUGCGGAGAUAUUAGGAGGAACACCAGUGGCGAAGGCGGCUUACUGGACUGUAACUGACGUUGAGGCUCGAAAGCGUGGGGAGCAAACAGGAUUAGAUACCCGAGUAGUC